Molecule: long non-coding RNA, 327 nt
Organism: Morone saxatilis (striped sea-bass)
Lineage: Eukaryota; Metazoa; Chordata; Actinopteri; Moronidae
Exons: 3
Source: RefSeq, a predicted model, not a curated record
ACUGGAAAUUAUAUUCAUAACAUGUUAAUAACAUCAUUAUUGAUAUGUUUUUUUCUGUGUUAUCUAGAGCGAACAACAAGUUCUGAAUUUAUUCUGCUGGUGAUAACAAUAGUCUGCUUGGUCAUUUCUAUGAUUGGAAAUGUUGUUUUCAUCUGUUACCGAACUCCAAGACCAAUAUGUAAACAAUUUAAAAGAAUAGAAAGCGCCACUUCACAAGCAAGACAUGACAACUUGAUCCAACCAGUCCAUGAUAUUACUGAAGGUGGGGAUGAUCUGAACUACGCUGCGUUGCAUUUCUCUGGAGGGAAAGCUACAAGAGGAAGGAAG